AUCUUUAAAAUACAUGAAGUAAAAACUGAUUGUCCUUGGGCACGUAAGAAUUGGAGGCAAAGAGAUGUGGGCCUGGAGAAGUCUGGAGCUAGUUGCUCCCUGUAGGCUCAAGAUCACCCUUUCCACACAC
RNAcentral lists this small nucleolar RNA (130 nucleotides) under Dasypus novemcinctus (nine-banded armadillo). Its description in RNAcentral is "Small nucleolar RNA SNORA38 (ENSDNOG00000029645.1)". It matches the Rfam family "Small nucleolar RNA SNORA38", at positions 24 to 131 of the family's 131-position model. Rfam says of the family: ACA38 is a member of the H/ACA class of snoRNA that guide the sites of modification of uridines to pseudouridines. The record is from RNAcentral. Lineage: Eukaryota; Metazoa; Chordata; Mammalia; Cingulata; Dasypodidae.